RNAcentral lists this small nuclear RNA (301 nucleotides) under Ophiophagus hannah (king cobra). RNAcentral's name for it is "7SK RNA". It matches the Rfam family "7SK RNA". Rfam says of the family: 7SK was discovered as an abundant small nuclear RNA in the mid-70s but a possible function has only recently been suggested. Two independent studies have found that 7SK RNA binds the CDK9/cyclin T complex (known as elongation factor P-TEFb). The record is from Rfam by way of RNAcentral. Lineage: Eukaryota; Metazoa; Chordata; Lepidosauria; Squamata; Elapidae.
AACUGUGAAGGCGAUCUGGCUGCAACAUCUGUCACCCCAUUGAUCACUCAGGUUGUUUCAGCUGAUCUGGCUGACUAGGUGGGUAUCCCCAUCCUCCCUCAUUACUCCAUGUGCUGGAAUAACGGCAGCUCAAGCUUGAUGAAAUACUGUAAGACCACUAUCCCAAAUAGAAAGAGUAUACUGUUUUUUGAUCAAGGGUAUACAAUAGCUGUACUGCUCUGCUAAAACCCCCAAAUAAACUCAAGGUCCAUUUGUAGGACAACAUAAGGUAUCAUCAAAUGUAUUUAUUUGUUUAUUUUAU